Molecule: ribosomal RNA, 468 nt
Filed under: uncultured bacterium
Lineage: Bacteria
Description: partial 16S ribosomal RNA
Rfam family: Bacterial small subunit ribosomal RNA
Source: RNAcentral
GACGAACGCUGGCGGCGUGCUUAACACAUGCAAGUCGAACGGAAAGGCCCUGCUUUUGUGGGGUGCUCGAGUGGCGAACGGGUGAGUAACACGUGAGUAACCUGCCCUUGACUUUGGGAUAACUUCAGGAAACUGGGGCUAAUACCGGGUAGGAGCUCCUGCUGCAUGGUGGGGGUUGGAUAGUUUCGGCGGUUGGGGAUGGACUCGCGGCUUAUCAGCUUGUUGGUGGGGUAGUGGCUUACCAAGGCUUUGACGGGUAGCCGGCCUGAGAGGGUGACCGGCCACAUUGGGACUGAGAUACGGCCCAGACUCCUACGGGAGGCAGCAGUGGGGAAUAUUGCACAAUGGGCGGAAGCCUGAUGCAGCAACGCCGCGUGCGGGAUGACGGCCUUCGGGUUGUAAACCGCUUUCGCCUGUGACGAAGCGUGAGUGACGGUAAUGGGUAAAGAAGCACCGGCUAACUACGUG